CCUACGGGAGGCAGCAGUGAGGAAUAUUGGUCAAUGGACGAGAGUCUGAACCAGCCAAGUAGCGUGAAGGAUGACUGCCCUAUGGGUUGUAAACUUCUUUUAUAAAGGAAUAAAACGAGGCACGUGUGCCUUUUUGCAUGUACUUUAUGAAUAAGGAUCGGCUAACUCAGUGCAAGCAGCCGCGGUAAUACGGAGGAUCCGAGCGUUAUCCGGAUUUAUUGGGUUUAAAGGGAGCGUAGAUGGGUUGUUAAGUCAGUUGUGAAAAUUUGCGGCUCAACCGUAAAAUUGCAAUUGAUACUGGCAGUCAUGAGUACAGUUGAGGUAGGCGGAAUUCGUUGUGUAGCGGUGAAAUGCUGAGAUAUCACGAAGAACCCCGAUUGCGAAGGCAGCUUACUAAACUGUGACUGACAUUGAUGCUCGAAAGUGUGGGUAUCAAACAGGAAUAGAUAGCCCAGUAGUC
Molecule: ribosomal RNA, 460 nt
Filed under: uncultured bacterium
Lineage: Bacteria
Description: partial 16S ribosomal RNA
Rfam family: Bacterial small subunit ribosomal RNA
Source: RNAcentral